UGGGGAAUUUUGGACAAUCGGCGUAAAUGCCUGAUCCAGCCAUGCCUGCUGUGCAGGACGAAGGCCUUCGGGUUGUAAACUGCUUUUGUACGGAAGGAAAAGGACCUGGUAACCUUAUGAAUAAGGAUCCGGAUAACUACGAUUCAGGACCGGCUAAUUCC
RNAcentral lists this ribosomal RNA (161 nucleotides) under uncultured bacterium. Its description in RNAcentral is "partial 16S ribosomal RNA". It matches the Rfam family "Bacterial small subunit ribosomal RNA", at positions 355 to 527 of the family's 1533-position model. The record is from RNAcentral.